Molecule: ribosomal RNA, 497 nt
Filed under: uncultured bacterium
Lineage: Bacteria
Description: partial 16S ribosomal RNA
Rfam family: Bacterial small subunit ribosomal RNA
Source: RNAcentral
GAUGAACGCUGGCGGCGUGCCUAAUACAUGCAAGUCGAGCGAACAGACGAGGUGCUUGCUCCUCUGACGUUAGCCGCGGACGUGAGAGUAACAUGUGGAGCACCUACCUAUAAGACUGGGAUAACUUCGGGAAACCGGAGCUAAUAACGUAUAAUAUCUUCAACCGGAUGGUUCAAUAGUUCAAGCCGGUUUUGCUGUACCUUAUAGCUGGAUCCGCGCCGCAUUCGCUAGUUGGUAAGGUAACGGCUUACCAAGGCGACGAUGCGUAGCCGACCUGAGAGGGUGAUCGGCCACACUGGAACUGAGACACGGUCCAGACUCCUACGGGAGGCAGCAGUAGGGAAUCUUCCGCAAUGGGCGAAAGCCUGACGGAGCAACGCCGCGUGAGUGAUGAAGGUCUUCGGAUCGUAAAACUCUGUUAUUAGGGAAGAACAAAUGUGUAAGUAACUAUGCACGUCUUGACGGUACCUAAUCAGAAAGCCACGGCUAACUACGUG